AUUGAACGCUGGCGGCAGGCCUAACACAUGCAAGUCGAACGGUAACAGGAAGCAGCUUGCUGCUUUGCUGACGAGUGGCGGACGGGUGAGUAAUGUCUGGGAAACUGCCCGAUGGAGGGGGAUAACUACUGGAAACGGUAGCUAAUACCGCAUAACGUCGCAAGACCAAAGAGGGGGACCUUAGGGCCUCUUGCCAUCGGAUGUGCCCAGAUGGGAUUAGCUAGUAGGUGGGGUAACGGCUCACCUAGGCGACGAUCCCUAGCUGGUCUGAGAGGAUGACCAGCCACACUGGAACUGAGACACGGUCCAGACUCCUACGGGAGGCAGCAGUGGGGAAUAUUGCACAAUGGGCGCAAGCCUGAUGCAGCCAUGCCGCGUGUAUGAAGAAGGCCUUCGGGUUGUAGAGUACUUUCAGCGGGGAGGAAGGGAGUAAAGUUAAUACCUUUGCACAUUGACGUUACCCGCAGAAGAAGCACCGGCUAACUCCGUG
RNAcentral lists this ribosomal RNA (490 nucleotides) under uncultured bacterium. RNAcentral's name for it is "partial 16S ribosomal RNA". It matches the Rfam family "Bacterial small subunit ribosomal RNA", at positions 30 to 507 of the family's 1533-position model. The record is from RNAcentral.